Molecule: small nuclear RNA, 88 nt
Filed under: Cervus hanglu yarkandensis (Yarkand deer)
Lineage: Eukaryota; Metazoa; Chordata; Mammalia; Artiodactyla; Cervidae
Description: U4 spliceosomal RNA (ENSCHYG00000026631.1)
Rfam family: U4 spliceosomal RNA
About the family: U4 small nuclear RNA (U4 snRNA) is a component of the major U2-dependent spliceosome.
Source: RNAcentral
AGCUUUGUGCAGUGGCAGUAUCGUAGCCAAUGAGGUUUAUCCAAGGCGCAAUUAUUGCUAAUUGAAAACUAUAUGAAGUAACAAAGCU